UGGGGGAUAUUGCACAAUGGGCGCAAGCCUGAUGCAGCGACGCCGCGUGAGGGAUGACGGCUUUCGGGUUGUAAACCUCUUUCGCUACUGAACAAGGCCCUGCUUGUUGUGGGGUUGAGGGUAGGUGGAUAAGAAGCGCCGGCUAACUACGUGCCAGCAGCCGCGGUAAUACGUAGGGCGCGAGCGUUGUCCGGAAUUAUUGGGCGUAAAGAGCUCGUAGGCGGCUUGUCGCGUCUGCUGUGAAAACGCGGGGCUUAACUCCGCGCGUGCAGUGGGUACGGGCAGGCUAGAGUGUGGUAGGGGUGAUUGGAAUUCCUGGUGUAGCGGUGGAAUGCGCAGAUAUCAGGAGGAACACCGAUGGCGAAGGCAGGUCACUGGGCCAUUA
This 385-nucleotide ribosomal RNA is filed under the name uncultured bacterium. Its description in RNAcentral is "bacterial SSU rRNA". It matches the Rfam family "Bacterial small subunit ribosomal RNA", at positions 355 to 739 of the family's 1533-position model. The record is from RNAcentral.